CAUAUUUGGCACUGGUUCGACCCUUGAAUUCGGAUUUGCCAUUAAAAAAACUCAAACUGCAAAAUUGCCAUCGAAAGCGCCUUGAAUUCAAUCCGUUUGCCACUGCCCAUUCGUUCCAUUUACUAUCGACAAAUUUAGGGCACAAAAAUAAAUGGCAAAAAUAAAAAGAAAAAUCCCAAGAACAUGAAAAGACAGAAUUGCCCAUACCCUAUCAAUAUCUCUCUGGACCUCCUCUAUCGAACUCAUUCUCUCCGGCAACAGGAACCGAACUCCGUGUCUCUCUCGAACUCUCUCCUCUAGCACAAACCCUAGAUCCUCAAAUCCCCCUCCCCCUCUCCCUAAUUCAGUGCGAAUCCCCUCAAAUCGAUCGCAAUUGAGUAGGAGAUGGGGUCUGUAGAGUUGGAUUUGUUGGAGGAGCAGCUGCAGUGGGGAUUUAGGACAUUAGGGCUGCAGCUUUAGAGUUGGCGGCUGCGGCUUCUGAGGCUCAGCGACUGGGGCACGACAGGCGGUCGCAGCUCGGGCUUGGCGACUGGGGCGCGGCUGCAGGUGCGACUAUGACUGCUCCUAGCACGGCAAGCUGCAGCUGCUACUGGGUUUGACCAUGGUUUGAAUAGAACGAACGGGUGCGACUCGUCCUCAGGAGGGAGACAACAUGGAAGGUAAGCGUGAAAUGGCAGAAGGAGGUCUUUCCAGGCAUAGAGAUUGACACUCUCCUAGAAUUCUUUGAUGUUGAUUCAAACUUUUUAGAAGAUUUCCCCCCUUUUUCGUUUGUUGUAGGAAUCCUCGAAGUUUUAACACAGUUAUCGUCAGGGUAGAAUCCUUUUUCUUAGCGUCAAGACAGGGUCACAAGGCAUAUGUGAAGGGGACUAGUGAGAAAUUGAAUGCUGAAAGAGAUAGGUAUUCGAUGCUUGAGUUAGUUGACGAUUUAGGGAAAAGGUUUAAUUGGGGGCCAAACCAGUACAUCACCUUCUGGAGAUCGGUUGAUGCAUCAAAUCACAGUGAAGUAGAGAUAACCACAGAUGCACAAUUGCUAGAUUGGUUUGAUCAGCUUGGUGAGCAUGGGAUUGUCCACAUAAAUGCUGUCAUCUGUGAAUUUGGUGGCCCAUUGCUUUGUUUACCUUCCCCAACUAAAAGAAGGUGCCACCCAUCAGUGAGGAAUAACCAUACUGAAAAUGUCAUCCCUUGCACUCCAUUAGUCUUUAGUGACUCAUGGGUUGAUGCUACACAGUUAACCCAGCCUGAGAGCACCACCCAUCCUGAGAGCACCAACCAUGUCAAUGAAGCCACAUCACCCAUUAAGGACAAAUGUAAGAAGCGUGCGAAGAAAGGUAGAAAGAAGAGAAAACGCAGGGCUGAUGACGACGACGAAGAAGUUAGGGAUAGUGAUGAGGAGGAGGAGCAGCAGGAGCAACUAUGCCUAGAUUGUGAUCCAUUAGAGGUGCAUAGUGACAACAGCUAUGACAGUGAUGCAGUCGCAUCCUCUUCUGACUCUGACUAAGAUGUUGAUGAGCUCGAUGAGGAAGUAGAUGAUGAUGGCGAUGACUCUGACCUUGAACCUGUGUUUGCAUAUGAUUUUGAUGAUCCAUGUAUUGAUGAAGGUGAGGUAUUCGCAGACACUGCUACUUGCAAGGCAGCUGUUACACACCAUGCUAUAGUCCAUGACUAUGCUUUUGAAACUGAGAAAAAGGAUCCAUCAAGGUUUAGAGCUUUCUGCAAGAAAAAAAAGGGUUGCAAGUGGAGGUUCCAUGCCUCAACAAGUAAGAAGUACUUUGGUUGUAAGGUAAAUGUGUGUUAAAAUAAUUUCAGUUAACAAUUGUACCACUUUCAGAAACUGUUUGGGAAGUAGGAUGAUAGCUAUGCAUUGAUGCCCACUUUUAGAGAAGAGAUAUUGAAUGCACAACCUGGAAGUACUGUAGAGAUUGACACCGAGAUUCAUGCAGAGGAAGUGUGCUUCAGGAGGAUGUUCAUAGCUCUAAAACCCUUCAUUGAUGGGUUUCUACAAGGUUGUAGGCCUUAUAUUGCAAUGGACUCAACACACUUAACAGGGAAGCAUAGAGGGCAGUUGGCAGUAGAUGGGAACAACUGGCUUUUUCCUGUUGCAUAUGGUGUGAUAGAGUCUGAGUCCAAAGAGAGUUGGACAUGGUUUGUGGAGAACUUGGAGAGGGCAAUUGGUAAUCCUCUUUGGUGUCAUCAGCACAGAUGCUGGGAAAGGCAUAGAGGGUGUUGUUAGUGCUGUUUAUCCAACUGCAGAGCAUCGGGGGUGCAUGAGACAUCUAUGGAAGAACUUCAAGAAGCAGUACCAUGGGCCACUGUUUGCUGAAAAUAUGUGGCAUGUUGCCAAGUGCUACACUAAUCAGCAAUUCAACUACCACAUGAACAAGAUUGCUGAGAGAUAUCCUGAUGCUGUUGAUUAUUUACAGAAGAAUCACCCUUUUCUAUGGAGCAGGGGCCAAUUCUUUGAGAUAUCAAAGGUGGACUAUAUUAACAACAAUCUUUCUGAGUCAUUCAACAAUUGGGUGAUGAAAAUCAAGGAGUUGCAGAUUGUGGACUUGUGUGACAACCUUAGGCAAAUGAUAAUUUAGAAAUUUUAGUUGAGGAGUCGGCUUGCAAGGAAAAUGGAAGGAAGGAUAAUUCCAACUAUUGUUAGUAAGCUAAACAAACAAAGCAAGAAUCUCAAGGAUUAUAGUGUGUUAAGGAGUAAUAAUGAUGAUGCAGCUGAAGUUUCUGUGGUGUCUAAGAAAGGAGUGAUAUGGAGACAUGCGGUGAACUUGAAGGAUCAGACAUGCUCUUGUAGAGCUUGGCACGUUAGCGGGAGCCUUGUAACCAUGCAUUGGCUUUUAUAGGUUCCCUCAGGUCACCUGAUAUGCACAAUUAUGUGCAUGAGUACUACUCAAUACAGAGGUUGAGGCAAACAUAUGCUGGAGUAUGGAACCCAAUGACAUCUAAGAACCAAUGGACAAUUGUAGAUCCUUGUUUCAAGUUGAAAAAGCCAAAGCCGAGGAGAAAGCCUGGGAGGCCUAGGACUCACAGAAUUCAAGCUUCUGAUGAGCAUGGUUGUAGAAAGAAGAGGACAUGCCGUGAGUGUGGUGACACAGGCCAUUUUGCAAAGACCUAUCAAGGAGGACCUAUAGUUAGGAAAAGGUAAUUUUCAUUCAUUUUCAUGUGAUCCAUUUUUAUUUAUACAUUAUCUAUUAACUCCUUUUUUUGGUGCAGGAAAAGGACUCCAUCCUCAGAUCAAGGGAGCAAUGAUCCAUCCAAUUUUCAUGGUGCGUCACCUAGGCCAAGGUCCAAGAAAAGCUCUACUAGUGGAUCAUCUAGGUAACUAACAUCCUGCUGCCAAUUUCACAAUCGCUUGUAUCCUAUGUACCACAACUUAUACAAAUGUUGUUGCAAUGGCAUUGCAAAUGAGGUGACAGUAAAGCCGCCAAGAGCAAGGGGGAAGGGGAAGAGAAAGAUAGGUUCUGUUGCUGCCUCCAUUUGAUGAGUGAUGGGGCCUCAGUCCUAUGUAGUCAUCUUUUGGAACUCGCUGUCCUAAUGUGCUUGUGAUUUCUGGUUGAGCUAUAUGAUGUACUCCUAAUAUCAUAUGUACUCAUCGUUUGGAUGUCAUGUUGGACAAGAUGAUGUGAACCUUAAAUUAGUUGUCCUGUCAUAUGCUUUGUGUUGCCAAAUUGAACUAGAUUAUGUAUUUGUACUGUGAUGUGAACCUUAAAUUAGCAGGCUCUAAAUGUACUGCUAUCAUUAUGUUGGAAAA
Molecule: long non-coding RNA, 3751 nt
Organism: Phragmites australis (common reed)
Lineage: Eukaryota; Viridiplantae; Streptophyta; Magnoliopsida; Poales; Poaceae
Exons: 2
Source: RefSeq, a predicted model, not a curated record